AAAUCCGGUACUCGUUAAGGCUGAGCUGUGAUGGGGAGAAGACAUUGUGUCUUCGAGUCGUUGAUUUCACACUGCCGAGAAAAGCCUCUAGAUAGAAAAUAGGUGCCCGUACCGCAAACCGACACAGGUAGUCAAGAUGAGAAUUCUAAGGUGAGCGAGCGAACUCUCGUUAAGGAACUCGGCAAAAUGACCCCGUAACUUCGGGAGAAGGGGUGCUCUUUAGGGUUAACGCCCAGAAGAGCCGCAGUGAAUAGGCCCAAGCGACUGUUUAUCAAAAACACAGGUCUCUGCUAAACCGUAAGGUGAUGUAUAGGGGCUGACGCCUGCCCGGUGCUGGAAGGUUAAGAGGAGUGGUUAGCUUCUGCGAAGCUACGAAUCGAAGCCCCAGUAAACGGCGGCCGUAACUAUAACGGUCCUAAGGUAGCGAAAUUCCUUGUCGGGUAAGUUCCGACCCGCACGAAAGGCGUAACGAUUUGGGCACUGUCUCAACGAGAGACUCGGUGAAAUCAUAGUACCUGUGAAGAUGCAGGUUACCCGCGACAGGACGGAAAGACCCCGUGGAGCUUUACUGUAGCCUGAUAUUGAAAUUCGGCACAGCUUGUACAGGAUAGGUAGGAGCCUUUGAAACGUGAGCGCUAGCUUACGUGGAGGCGCUGGUGGGAUACUACCCUAGCUGUGUUGGCUUUCUAACCCGCACCACUUAUCGUGGUGGGAGACAGUGUCAGGCGGGCAGUUUGACUGGGGCGGUCGCCUCCUAAAAGGUAACGGAGGCGCUCAAAGGUUCCCUCAGAAUGGUUGGAAAUCAUUCAUAGAGUGUAAAGGCAUAAGGGAGCUUGACUGCGAGACCUACAAGUCGAGCAGGGUCGAAAGACGGACUUAGUGAUCCGGUGGUUCCGCAUGGAAGGGCCAUCGCUCAACGGAUAAAAGCUACCCCGGGGAUAACAGGCUUAUCUCCCCCAAGAGUUCACAUCGACGGGGAGGUUUGGCACCUCGAUGUCGGCUCAUCGCAUCCUGGGGCUGUAGUCGGUCCCAAGGGUUGGGCUGUUCGCCCAUUAAAGCGGUACGCGAGCUGGGUUCAGAACGUCGUGAGACAGUUCGGUCCCUAUCCGUCGUGGGCGUAGGAAAUUUGAGAGGAGCUGUCCUUAGUACGAGAGGACCGGGAUGGACAUACCUCUGGUGUACCAGUUGUCGUGCCAACGGCAUAGCUGGGUAGCUAUGUGUGGACGGGAUAAGUGCUGAAAGCAUCUAAGCAUGAAGCCCCCCUCAAGAUGAGAUUUCCCAACUUCGGUUAUA
Molecule: ribosomal RNA, 1293 nt
Filed under: Staphylococcus aureus
Lineage: Bacteria; Bacillati; Bacillota; Bacilli; Caryophanales; Staphylococcaceae
Description: partial 23S ribosomal RNA
Rfam family: Bacterial large subunit ribosomal RNA
Source: RNAcentral